Faecalibacterium sp. CAG:74 is the source of this 54-nucleotide small RNA. It matches the Rfam family "Streptococcus sRNA SpF59 (ldcC RNA)". The record is from Rfam. NCBI's taxonomy places the organism in Bacteria, Bacillati, Bacillota, Clostridia, Eubacteriales, Oscillospiraceae.
UGACCCGUCCCGCAAGGGGCGCAAGGCCGAACGGACAGCCGGGUCAAAUGCCGA